AAGGUUGUUCCAACAAGUCCGAUACAGUCAUGAUAUAACAAUAUUAUUACAAGGUUGUGUCGCCAAACUUGUAACAUUCUUGUUAUAUCACAAGUGUAUCAGACUUGUCAGAACAACCUU
Paramuricea clavata is the source of this 120-nucleotide non-coding RNA. The record is from the annotation of a GenBank genome assembly. Lineage: Eukaryota; Metazoa; Cnidaria; Anthozoa; Malacalcyonacea; Plexauridae.